GCGGGGGCGGGCUUGGGGCCAUCCCUCUGCCACCUCCUUCCUCUCCAUUUCGCCGGCUUCACUUCUAACGCUUGCUGGUAAAUGAUCGCCAGCUCAAUCGUGAUGCUUCUCCCAGAGAGGUUUAUAAUGUAUUCAUUCCACUAAUGGCCCUGGGCUGGGGAAAAGAACUGGACCGGAGAAGUAAAGCUGCGUCUCCUUCCUUUUGAAGGCUCCUUCAGGGUGGUGUGGAAUGAAGUGGGACGGUCCCUUCCUGCUCUCUGAUUUUAAGCAAUUCGGACUGCACGCCUUCUGACCUCCCUCUCCACCUCCAUCCCCAUGCCUGCUAAUCCUGCAGCCCUGCCCCUUGAAAUGGAAAGCACACGCGUGGAUUUUGAUCCUUGGCUCUCUGAUUCACUUGCUUUUGUGACUUUAGGUGGGCACCUAAUAUCUCAGAACCUCAGUUUCCCCAUCUCUGAAAUGGAAAGCAUCACACCUCUCCCCAGAGUUUCUGUGACACGCAAAAGAUCUGUCCUGUCUAGCAUCCUUCACUUACUUCUGAAGAUCUAGGCUUCUAUCUGCCAUCAUCUCCCUUCACCUGGAGAAUUUCCUUUAAUGUUUUUUAUAGCAUUUCUGUUGGAGAUAACUUUGCUCAGCUUAUCAACAUCAGAGUCAAGGGGCCAGAGAAGGAGGAGAAGUUGAGGCGGACAGUCAAGCAGGUCCUGAAGUGUGACGUGACUCAGAGCUGGCCGCUGGGGACCAUCCCCUGCCCCCGGCCAACUGCCUGCUCAGCACGCUGAGACCUCCCUGCCUACCGCACGGCCCUUAAGAACCGCGGCAGCCUGCUAAAGCCGGGGGGCUUCCUGAUGCUUGUGGAUAUCCUGAGAAGCAGCUACUGUAUGAUCGGGGAGCAGGGGUUCUCCAGCCUCUGUCUGGGCCCGGAGGCAGUGGCGACUGCCGUCAGGGAGGCCGGCUACACCAUCCAACACUUUGAGGUGAUCUCCCAGAGUUACUCUUCUGCCAUGGCUGACAACGAAGGGCUUUUCUUCUUGGUGGGGCAGAAGCUGAGCACAUCGGUAUGAUACCUUGUGACCGCUGUUAAAGCAAUUCCUCUGAUGUGCCCAGUUGACUUCAGUCUUUGCCACAGUCAUUGUGCUGCAUAGAGGCUAAUGGCUUAGGCCCAAUGGUUCACCUCGGAUAGGACUGGAGAGGUCAGUCUCCCUGGCAACCGUUGGCUGACCACCUGCUCUGUGCUCCUCAUGUGUGUUGGUGUUAAGGGGACCCAGCCUGAUCAGUGGGCAUGCCCAGGCUUCAUCGCUGUGGUUACAAAAGAAGACCUCAUUUUCCUUGAUCUUCCCAGUUAUCAUGACUUAAGUCCACACCUGCUUACAGAGAAAUGUCUGCGGUUACUCACUCUUCAUUCCCUGAUGCCUUCUUCUUUCCUGGGAAUAGACUUCUGUUCUUCAA
Odocoileus virginianus texanus is the source of this 1443-nucleotide non-coding RNA. The record is from RefSeq and is a predicted model, not a curated record. NCBI's taxonomy places the organism in Eukaryota, Metazoa, Chordata, Mammalia, Artiodactyla, Cervidae.